This 85-nucleotide transfer RNA is filed under the name Felis catus (domestic cat). It matches the Rfam family "tRNA". From Rfam's summary of the family: Transfer RNA (tRNA) molecules are approximately 80 nucleotides in length. Lineage: Eukaryota; Metazoa; Chordata; Mammalia; Carnivora; Felidae. The record is from Rfam by way of RNAcentral.
GCCUGUGUGGCUCAGUUGGUUAAGCAUCUGACUUCAGCUCAGGUCAUGAUGUCAUGGUUCAUGGGUUCAAGCCCUACAUCAGGCU